CACAUACUCCCUCCGUCCGAAAAUACUUGUCAUCAAAAUGAAUAAAAAGAGAUGUAUCUAGAACUAAAAUACAUCUAGAUACAUCCCCUUUUAUCUAGUUUAAUGACAAGUAUUUCCGGACGGAGAAAGUAGUUG
Molecule: non-coding RNA, 135 nt
Organism: Triticum aestivum (bread wheat)
Lineage: Eukaryota; Viridiplantae; Streptophyta; Magnoliopsida; Poales; Poaceae
Source: Rfam